Molecule: transfer RNA, 70 nt
Filed under: Morinia doronici
Lineage: Eukaryota; Metazoa; Arthropoda; Insecta; Diptera; Polleniidae
Description: tRNA-Pro
Source: RNAcentral
CAAGAAAUAGUUUAAAUUUUAAAAAUAUUAAUUUUGGGAAUUAAUGAUAAAGUAGUUUCUUUUUUCUUGA